GACAGAGGUGCCGAGCGUUAGGCGAAAUCACUGGGCUUAAAGCGUGUGUAGGCGGAUCGUUAAGUACCUUGUGAAAUCCCACGGCUCAACCGUGGAACUGCUGGGUAUACUGGCGGUCUUGAGCCACCUAGGGGCGAGCGGAACAAGCGGUGGAGCGGUGAAAUGCGUAGAUAUCGCUUGGAACGCCAACGGUGAAAACAGCUCGCUGGGGGUGUGCUGACGCUGAGACACGAAAGCCAGGGGAGCGAACGGG
Molecule: ribosomal RNA, 253 nt
Filed under: uncultured bacterium
Lineage: Bacteria
Description: partial 16S ribosomal RNA
Rfam family: Bacterial small subunit ribosomal RNA
Source: RNAcentral